UCGAGAAUUUUUCACAAUGGGCGCAAGCCUGAUGGAGCGACGCCGCGUGGGGGAUGAAUGGCUUCGGCCCGUAAACCCCUGUCAUUUGCGAUCAACCGUUAUUGUUUAAGAGAUGAUAACCUGAUAGUAGCGAAAGAGGAAGGGACGGCUAACUCUGUGCCAGCAGCCGCGGUAAUACAGAGGUCCCAAGCGUUGUUCGGAUUCACUGGGCGUAAAGGGUGCGUAGGUGGCGAAGUAAGUCGGGUGUGAAAUCCCCGGUGUCAACUCGGAAA
RNAcentral lists this ribosomal RNA (272 nucleotides) under uncultured prokaryote. Its description in RNAcentral is "partial 16S ribosomal RNA". It matches the Rfam family "Bacterial small subunit ribosomal RNA", at positions 355 to 620 of the family's 1533-position model. The record is from RNAcentral.